This 467-nucleotide ribosomal RNA is filed under the name uncultured bacterium. Its description in RNAcentral is "bacterial SSU rRNA". It matches the Rfam family "Bacterial small subunit ribosomal RNA", at positions 329 to 793 of the family's 1533-position model. The record is from RNAcentral.
UUCCAGACUCCUACGGGAGGCAGCAGUGAGGAAUAUUGGUCAAUGGGCUUACGCCUGAACCAGCCAAGUCGCGUGAGGGAAGACUGCCCUAUGGGUUGUAAACCUCUUUUGCCGGGGAGCAAGCGUGCGUUCGUGAACGCACGUCGAGAGUACCCGGAGAAAAAGCAUCGGCUAACUCCGUGCCAGCAGCCGCGGUAAUACGGAGGAUGCGAGCGUUAUCCGGAUUUAUUGGGUUUAAAGGGUGCGUAGGCGGGAUGCCAAGUCAGCGGUAAAAUGCGGUGCUCAACGCCGUCGAGCCGUUGAAACUGGCGUUCUUGAGUGGGCGAGAAGUAUGCGGAAUGCGUGGUGUAGCGGUGAAAUGCAUAGAUAUCACGCAGAACUCCGAUUGCGAAGGCAGCAUACCGGCGCCCUACUGACGCUGAGGCACGAAAGCGUGGGUAUCGAACAGGAUUAGAUACCCCCGUACG